Molecule: non-coding RNA, 23 nt
Filed under: Arabidopsis thaliana (thale cress)
Lineage: Eukaryota; Viridiplantae; Streptophyta; Magnoliopsida; Brassicales; Brassicaceae
Source: RNAcentral
GUUGGGUUGUAAUGGUUAAUGGU